Molecule: non-coding RNA, 2731 nt
Organism: Neolamprologus brichardi
Lineage: Eukaryota; Metazoa; Chordata; Actinopteri; Cichliformes; Cichlidae
Source: RefSeq, a predicted model, not a curated record
CUAUCAAUGCCUCUGCUCGCUCGGAAAAACCUUUUUCUCUCUUUCUAUUCCCGACUCUGUGUCGCGAAAUAUAUCGCAGAUUACCUAAUCAUUCUCGCCGCUUUUUAAAUAGCCGUAUAUAGACCAAGUCCUCCUUAAAAGUAGUCGUUAUGUUUGAGGAUAUUUACAGAUUUUUUUAUCUUUCAAUUACACUUAAGGCAACAGAAUUUCCGAUUUCUUUAUUUUUUCCGAUCAGAUUCGUGUUUUUUGGGAGGGGGAGAUUAGUUGGCCUAUCAAAGCUAUAAUCAACUGUAUUGGGGAAAAAAGGCCUCUUCAGCUGAGACCAUCUCUUUCAAAAGGCGUGUGUUUUCCACUCAACAAUGCAGUCUGUUCUAUUUUGAAGAUAUCCAGUUUGACUUUCUUUUCUCUCUCACUCACUCUUUUUUUUAUUCCUACGAGCGAUCACUAAAUGCAUUCAGUGACCUGCAGGUUUAGCCUGGACCACGCUUAAAGUUUCCGGCAGUAACUUUGGAAUGAUAGUGUCUGCUUAAGGUCAGUCAAAUGAGGCAAUGUGUUGUUGUCUUUCUGGUCAACGUUUCUCGGGGAAAAGUCUUUUCUUGAAAGUCAAGAUACGGUAGCCAAGUAGUUCGAGGCAGAAGACGCAGGCUGUCGCCGUCUUCCCUAAAAUGCAUGUCUGCUCUGUGCAGCGCUGCUCAGACUCUCAGGCUGUCCGUGUACAAGGUCCUGCUGAUCCGCUCCUGUCACGAAGGAGACCCUGGGCUCCGUUUUCCCUCAACAAACCACAUUCACAUUGCACACACCGCGCCCGCAAACACAAACCCGCUCAUGCACGCACACACACACACGUCGAUCGAUUUGCAUGUGACUCCGUCAGUGAAUGAGCGAGUAUCGACUUAAAAACAACGCUUGAAAGAGGCAAACCGCUAUGAAAAAUAAAAAAGAAAAGAUGGACAAAGUGGGGUAAAGGGGGGAAAGUGUAGCUAGAGGAACUAAGGCAGGGCGGAGGGAUUGCCCAUUUCAGACAGAGACGUGUCGGAGAAGAACAAAAAUGUCUUUAUCCAGAAGAGGAUUUUAUAAGCACGCGACGUUGGUGAAACCCCGUGGAUGUGGCAAGUGUGAAAUCUGUCAAAAUUUAGAAAGAGAGAGAUGUUCCCAUCUGCCGGACACACACGGACCCCACUAGCUGGACUUGGAGCUCCUUUUCUGGGCAGCGCUCAUGUGGAGCUGCCGCUGCCCUUCGUCCGCCGCUCAGCACAGCCCUCUCUCAUUGCGUUUGUGCCUCAAAACACGUUUCUCGACAACCACAAACCCUCCACACCUUUCCCCGAUCCCACCGAAAAGCACACAUUUGUUUUAAAACCGUGCUUUUUUUUUUAUCCCCCCCCUCUCUCCACGAUCAACUGCUUGGAGUGGAUCGCUGUCUUGCCUAUUUCUUAUCUUCCAUUCAUGAGGAGGAGAGGACGGACGCUGAUGUAAACACAGUUGAGCCUGCGCUGUGUACCGCUGCAGAACCCACGAGAGAGGCUGGUGUCCGGCUCCGUGUGUCUAGGGUGGAUAGGGCAGCACAGCCAGGUGCAAUGGGAGCGCCCUCUUAUGUUCAGCCUGACCACUGGGAUCAAGUAGCGCAUCAGCUCUUUCAUGGAAGCCAAGCGCCUGCGGACCCAGGUCUUUGCAAAAGCGCACCUUUGCCUUUGAGUCUGUGGUUGCAUCUUAAAAACGGACUCGAAUGUAAACGAGGCACGCAAACACGUUCAGGUUAUCGCGUGGACAAAAUAGACGAGGGAUUUCAACGUCGGAAAUCACAGACAUUUCAGUCAAACGUGUUUUUUGUUUUGUUUUUGUUUUUUUAACCGACCAUUAAGGACACGAGAUGCACUCCGAAAAUUAUCCUAGUUUUGAAAUAGCCUCUGACUGACCGAGAGCGAAAAAGAACAACAUGCCCAGCUCGGAUCAAACCGAAAUUUUGGCCUAAUUAGCGGGGCGUCCUGCAGAAAUCUGCUGAUACAUAACUUCAGAAAAUAAAAAAUAAAUAAUCAAAAGUGCAGCUAUUCCACUUCUAAAUUAACUUUUCACAAUCGUUUUGGAUUGGGGGGUAUAAAUGUAACAUGCUUUGCACUCUACGCAUGAUUUCCCACCAUCAUCCUUGAAGGAUGUGUGCCACGUACCCUGUGGACAGGGGAAAAACAUCUUUUUGCAAACCUUUACUUAUAACUAUUUUAUUUCCUCGGCGUUAUUCUCUAAACCAGCAAUUUAAAAAAAGUAAACCUACACACGCCUGUGGCCUCUAGCUUUCUAGCCCCCACCCUCCCCCCUUUUUUCCCCUCCAUUUUUGGCACCCCCAGAAUGUUCCUGACUGGAUGCAGCUGAUCACUGUGGUGGAUCUUUUGUUUAUCAAAAUCAAAUGCAACGUUUGGACUCGUCUUUGGUGCUCUUUCACUUACACUCUUGCCUAUCACAUAUCACAUAGUGUGUUGGAUCAUUUUAUUCAUAUUUCACAUGCUUUCUAGAUUUAUUAGAGUAUUUUCAUGGAUCUAUUUGUUUGCUUGUGUAUUUUUUCUGUAAUAUCUUAUAAGGGGAUAUUCUACCUGCUGUUGUAUUUGCUUGUUUAUUUCAUGUGAUUUUAUUUUUUAAUUCAUUUUUUUAUUUUUUUAAAUAUUGCUCUUUUAUUUUAGGUUGUUAAUCCAGUGCUUCUGAAAUAAAAUAUUGAUAUUAAAAAAAUCCCUUGGACAAA